UACGAAGGGGGCUAGCGUUGUUCGGAAUUACUGGGCGUAAAGCGCGUGUAGGCGGCCUUCUAAGUCUGGUGUGAAAGCCCGGGGCUCAACCCCGGAAGUGCAUUGGAUACUGGGAGGCUGGAGUACCGGAGAGGAGGGUGGAAUUCCUGGUGUAGCGGUGAAAUGCGUAGAUAUCAGGAGGAACACCGGUGGCGAAGGCGGCCCUCUGGACGGAUACUGACGCUGAGACGCGAAAGCGUGGGGAGCAAACAGG
Molecule: ribosomal RNA, 253 nt
Filed under: uncultured bacterium
Lineage: Bacteria
Description: partial 16S ribosomal RNA
Rfam family: Bacterial small subunit ribosomal RNA
Source: RNAcentral